AUGGUACUUGCAAUUUGGGUUUGUUGCACCAAUUAUACUGUAGGGACCUCCCUUACCGUCUUUCUGUCAAAAAAAAAAGUUUCAUCUAUCCUCAUGGACUAUGGAUUUUUCCCAACUGGAGAUUCCAUGGAUACUAUAAACCUGCCUUAUGACUGCAGAAAGUCAGACGGAGAAUCAUGCAAAGGGCCUACAGAUGCAAACAUGGCAGUUACGGAAACGGCCAAUGUGGAUGCUGGAGAGGAAAAGGUAAAGAUAAUCAAAUCUGGCUUUGAUCUAGUUUUGGACAGGCUGAUGGUGUUUGGUAAUGAAUAA
Molecule: ribosomal RNA, 312 nt
Filed under: Triticum aestivum (bread wheat)
Lineage: Eukaryota; Viridiplantae; Streptophyta; Magnoliopsida; Poales; Poaceae
Description: partial small subunit ribosomal RNA
Source: RNAcentral